UUAAGUUGCUAAGAGCAAACGGUGGAUGCCUGGGCAUCUGGAGCCGAAGAAGGACGUAGUAAUCUGCGAUAAGCCUCGGGGAGUUGAUAAACGAGCCGUGAUCCGAGGAUGUCCGAAUGGGGAAACCCCGCCAGGGCGCGUGCGUACCUGGUGACUCCCGCCUGAAUAUAUAGGGCGGGUUGAGGGAACGUGGGGAAGUGAAACAUCUCAGUACCCACAGGAAGAGAAAACAACAUGUGAUUCCGGGAGUAGUGGCGAGCGAAACCGGAAGAGGCUAAACCGUGUAUGUGUGAUACCCGGCAGGGGUUGCAUACGCGGGGUCGUGGGACUUUUCUAGUUCAUCUGCCGGUGGACUGACGUGAAUGUUGUUGCUAUAGGAGAACCGCUUGGAACGGCGGGCCGGAGUGGGUGAGAGCCCCGUAUCCGAAAUGGUGACACUGCGUGAGAAGUAUCCCAAGUAGCACGGGGCCCGAGAAAUCCCGUGUGAAUCUGUCAGGACCACCUGAUAAGCCUAAAUACUCCCAGAUGACCGAUAGCGGACUAGUACCGUGAGGGAAAGGUGAAAAGUACCCCGGGAGGGGAGUGAAAGAGUACCUGAAACCGUUUGCUUACAAUCCGUCAGAGCCAGCUUGUUCUGGUGAUGGCGUGCCUUUUGAAGAAUGAGCCUGCGAGUUAGCGGCAUGUGGCGAGGUUAACCCGUGUGGGGAAGCCGUAGCGAAAGCGAGUCUGAAUAGGGCGAUUGAGUCGCGUGUCCUAGACCCGAAGCGAAGUGAUCUAUCCAUGGCCAGGCUGAAGCGCGUGUAAGAGCGCGUGGAGGGCCGAACCCACUUAGGUUGAAAACUGAGGGGAUGAGCUGUGGAUAGGGGUGAAAGGCCAAUCAAACUUCGUGAUAGCUGGUUCUCUCCGAAAUGCAUUUAGGUGCAGCGUCGCGUGUUUCUUGCCGGAGGUAGAGCUACUGGAUGGCCGAUGGGCCCUACAAGGUUACUGACGUCAGCUAAACUCCGAAUGCCGGUAAGUGAGAGCGUGGCAGUGAGACUGUGGGGGAUAAGCUUCAUAGUCGAGAGGGAAACAACCCAGAUCGCCAACUAAGGUCCCUAAGCGUGUGCUAAGUGGUAAAGGAUGUGGAGUUGCUGUGACAACCAGGAGGUUGGCUUAGAAGCAGCCACCCUUGAAAGAGUGCGUAAUAGCUCACUGGUCAAGUGAUUCCGCGCCGACAAUGUAACGGGGCUCAAGCACACCACCGAAGUUGCGGCAAUCAGCGUAUAGGCAAGCCUUCGUGGUUCAGCCCGCUGGUUGGGUAGGAGAGCGUCGUGUGGCGAGUGAAGCGGCGGAGUGAUCCAGUCGUGGACGCUACACGAGUGAGAAUGCAGGCAUGAGUAGCGAAAGACGGGUGAGAAACCCGUCCUCCGGAAGACCAAGGGUUCCAGGGUCAAGCUAAUCUGCCCUGGGUAAGUCGGGACCUAAGGCGAGGCCGACAGGCGUAGUCGAUGGACAACGGGUUGAUAUUCCCGUACCGGCGAAGAACCGUCAAACGCGAAGCCGCAAGUGCUAAGCAAGCGAAGCCCCUUUUCUGCCUUCGGGUGGGUUGGGGGUGGAGAGUGCGACCCCGGCGUGGUGGAGUGAGCGUAUUAACAGGUGUGACGCAGGAAGGUAGCCUGUGCCGGGCGAUGGUUGUCCCGGUGUAAACGUGUAGCCCGAACCUUAGUAAUAUUUUGGUUCUUUGGGUGAGACGUGAUGCGGACCCGUAUGGGGAAGCAGGUGAUCCUAUGCUGCCGAGAAAAGCAUCGACGCGAGGUUUUAGCCGCCCGUACCCCAAACCGACUCAGGUGGUCAGGUAGAGAAUACUCAGGAGAUCGAGAGAAUCAUGGUGAAGGAACUCGGCAAAAUGCCCCCGUAACUUCGGGAGAAGGGGGGCCAUCCGCUUAUACCGUCUUGCACGGGAAAGGGUGUGGUGGCCGCAGAGACCAGUGGGAAGCGACUGUUUACUAAAAACACAGGUCCGUGCGAACAUGCAAAUGGAUGUAUACGGACUGACGCCUGCCCGGUGCUGGAAGGUUAAGAGGAGAGGUCAACGACUUCGGUUGUGAAGCUUUGAAUUUAAGCCCCAGUAAACGGCGGUGGUAACUAUAACCAUCCUAAGGUAGCGAAAUUCCUUGUCGGGUAAGUUCCGACCUGCACGAAUGGCGUAACGACUUCCCAGCUGUCUCCACCAUGAACUCGGCGAAAUUGCACUACGAGUAAAGAUGCUCGUUACGCGCAGAAGGACGGAAAGACCCCGUGACCUUUACUACAGCUUGGUAUUGGUGUUCGGUGUGGCUUGUGUAGGAUAGGUGGGAGACUGUGAAGCUGGCACGCUAGUGUUGGUGGAGUCGUUGUUGAAAUACCACUCUGGUCAUACUGGAUGUCUAACCAUGGACCCUGAUCGGGUUCUGGGACAGUGCCUGGUGGGUAGUUUAACUGGGGCGGUUGCCUCCCAAAAUGUAACGGAGGCGCCCAAAGGUUCCCUCAACCUGGUUGGCAAUCAGGUGGCGAGUGUAAGUGCACAAGGGAGCUUGACUGUGAGACUGACAGGUCGAGCAGGGACGAAAGUCGGGACUAGUGAUCCGGCAGUGGCUUGUGGAAGCGCUGUCGCUCAACGGAUAAAAGGUACCUCGGGGAUAACAGGCUGAUCUUGCCCAAGAGUCCAUAUCGACGGCAUGGUUUGGCACCUCGAUGUCGGCUCGUCGCAUCCUGGGGCUGGAGUAGGUCCCAAGGGUUGGGCUGUUCGCCCAUUAAAGCGGUACGCGAGCUGGGUUUAGAACGUCGUGAGACAGUUCGGUCCCUAUCCUCUGCGCGCGUUGGAGAUUUGAGAGGAUCUGACCCUAGUACGAGAGGACCGGGUUGGACGGACCUCUGGUGUGCCAGUUGUUCUGCCAAGGGCAUGGCUGGUUGGCUACGUUCGGGAUGGAUAACCGCUGAAAGCAUCUAAGCGGGAAGCCGGCCUCGAGAUGAGAUCUCCGUGCACCUUCGGGUGCGUGAGGCUCCCAGGAGAUUACUGGGUUGAUAGGCCAGAUAUGGAAGCAUCGUAAGGUGUGGAGUUGACUGGUACUAAUAAGCCGAUGACUUAACU
This 3109-nucleotide ribosomal RNA is filed under the name Leucobacter soli. Its description in RNAcentral is "Leucobacter sp. IMT-300 23S ribosomal RNA". It matches the Rfam family "Bacterial large subunit ribosomal RNA". The record is from RNAcentral. Lineage: Bacteria; Bacillati; Actinomycetota; Actinomycetes; Micrococcales; Microbacteriaceae.